RNAcentral lists this ribosomal RNA (2133 nucleotides) under Triticum aestivum (bread wheat). RNAcentral's name for it is "partial small subunit ribosomal RNA". The record is from RNAcentral. Lineage: Eukaryota; Viridiplantae; Streptophyta; Magnoliopsida; Poales; Poaceae.
UCUCUCUCUCUCGACUCCCCUUUCGUUGCCCUGCUGUCCCUUUUUCGAUCGCUCGCUCGCUCGCUCGCUCGUUUGUUUUCGCUGGUCGAUCGAGGCCGUCGUGGGUGAUGCGGGGGAAAGCGGUUAGAUGAGGUGAAGUGAGGUGACAUUUAGAUAGAUAGACCCGGACCCCCUUCGUUCCUUAAACUUCAGCUGUACUCGAUCCCACUCUCACUCUUCGGUUCGUUCGUCCGCUGCGUUCUAGCUGCCGAGAGUGGUAGUGGUGAGAGGGGCACGAUCCUGAUCCUCCCUCCUACGGCGAGGUGGACGACGAGGAGGAGGACGACGAGGACGGCAGGCGGCGGCACCGGCCGUUCCGGGUGGUCAGGAGGAGGAAGCGGGAGCUAAAGAAGGGACCGCUGCCGCGGUAGCGCGUCGAGCGAGAGUGGCCGCGGUUGCGGUGGAGGCGGCCGCUGUAGAGGUACGCGAGGGGCGCCCGGGCCCAUGUCAUGGUGUUUGGGUAGGUGAACCGGGGGCGGCGGCGGCCGAAGAGUUGGAUGAAGAGGAAGAGAGAGGUGGGAUCGGGGUUUAGAGUGCGGCGGAGGUAGCGGAAGAAGGAUUGCGGGCGGCGCGGGAGCGGGCGGCAAUUGCGGGAGCGGCAGCAGAAGCGGCGGCGCCUGAGGUCGGUGUAGGCUCAGGUUUAGCUGGAGCGGCCACUUUGCCGGCGGGUCUGGCGGGGGGCGCCAUAGGGGUUUUUCGACGUAAGGACCUAUCUGAUGUUGCGGUGUAGGCGGUGCGAGGUCCAGGCAGAGAGGCGGAGCGCGGAGGGGUUCGGCGGCGCGCGCGACGAGAGGGUGGGCGAGGUAGAGGUGAGGCGGGAGGAGGAGGAGGCGUCGUUCGGGUACGAGCGGCCUAAGCGGAGGAGGGUGCGGUUGACGUCGGAGAAGUCGACCCGGAAGUCCCGGUUGGUGCCCGGAGGGAUGGAGUACGUGAGGGUCGGUGAGUUAGGGUGGCCGAAUAGCGAGUGGUGCGGCGGCGGUCUGGCGGAGGGGGCGCGAGGGGGCCCGUUGGCGGUGGGGACCCAAAGCGACGACAAUCGACGGCGCACGCCGCGGCAGAAGUGUAAGCAGGACGAGAAGCAGACCAUGAGGUACCCCUUCGCGGCGGGCCAGCGCGGCCACCUCAUGGGGUACGUGGGCAGGAGGCUGCUGUAGUAGAUGCUCUUCUAACACGACCAGCCUCAGUUCCUGGAGGGACGGCUACAGUGGCGUCGACGAGUGUUCAUCGGCGAUAGGAGAGGAGAUCUAAGAUGACGUUCACACGAGGACAUUGACAUUCAUCCUUUAACAACGAUCAUUCGCGCCACCUUUUACGUCUAAAACGGCCGUUUCGCUUGUUUCGUUUAAGACGUGAAGGGUGGCCCUAAUCCUAAGCUAACGAGAAAGAUUUAACAUUGAACAGUUAACAGUACAGUAGGUGGUGACGAUGGUGAAGAAGAAACAUACGAAUAAUCAGUACAGGAUCAUGAUAAGUUCUCGAGUAGAAUAGUAGAGAUUACCUGUCUCAUUGUACUACAAACAAAAAAGCCGCUUACGUGUAUUAUAUCGACUACUGUUUAACUCCGUACUAUAUACUCAUAGACAUAGCGCCAAACAAGGUUUUAUAUCUCAACGAUCGAAACCACUAACGAGGGGGAGUUAUUACGUGGACACGAAAAGUUUGCGUGAAGUGGUGACGACAAAUUAAAUGAGGACGUAAUCAUCUAAGCCUCAAAGAAGAAGCCGUCGAAGUUGAACGCCCUCUGAGAACAACGUCAAACCACCGUACCAAGACACGGUUCAACGAAUUGUUCUACGACGAUCCACGUCAAGUCAACCGGUUUCGGUGAAACGUAAUUAUAACCUCUACACGUGCUCUCACGACUUUAGUAAUACCCUCUAGAUCCACGUACGAUAUACGGGUAACGAUGAAAGUCAAUCCUUGGUGAUCGACAUAAUACCGUAGGUCCUAAGGUCCCAAACGAAAUGAAAAUCCAAUGAACAUAGGACCUUGGACUACGACAAAAACCGACUGGUCAACGUAUAACUUUCUACAUUUCUGCUGUUCAAUAAUACUUUAUAUGCUAGUAAAAAUCAUUAUGUAAGUAAUCAAUCG